AAGGGAGUGGUGGUGGUUUCCCG
RNAcentral lists this non-coding RNA (23 nucleotides) under Arabidopsis thaliana (thale cress). Lineage: Eukaryota; Viridiplantae; Streptophyta; Magnoliopsida; Brassicales; Brassicaceae. The record is from RNAcentral.